RNAcentral lists this ribosomal RNA (433 nucleotides) under uncultured bacterium. RNAcentral describes it as "partial 16S ribosomal RNA". It matches the Rfam family "Bacterial small subunit ribosomal RNA", at positions 29 to 507 of the family's 1533-position model. The record is from RNAcentral.
AACGAACGCUGGCGGCAUGCCUAACACAUGCAAGUCGAACGAUGCCUUCCGGUCGAGUGGCGCACGGGUGCGAACCGCUUGGGAAUCCGCCUUUCGGUUCGGAAUAACUCAGGGAAACCUGCGGUAAUACCGGAUAACGUCGCAAGACCAAAGAUUUAUCACCGAAAGAUGGGCCCGCGUAGGAUUAGCUAGUUGGUGAGGUAAACGCUCACCAAGGCGACGAUCCUUAGCUGGUCUGAGAGGAUGAUCAGCCACACUGGGACUGAGACACGGCCCAGACUCCUACGGGAGGCAGCAGUGGGGAAUAUUAGACAAUGGGGGAAAGCCUAAUCCAGCAAUGCCGCGUGAGUGAUGAAGGCCUUAGGGUUGUAAAGCUCUUUUACACGGAAAGAGAAUGACGGUACCGGGAGAAUAAGCCCCGGCUAACUCCGUG